This 586-nucleotide ribosomal RNA is filed under the name uncultured bacterium. RNAcentral's name for it is "bacterial SSU rRNA". It matches the Rfam family "Bacterial small subunit ribosomal RNA", at positions 338 to 916 of the family's 1533-position model. The record is from RNAcentral.
CCUACGGGAGGCAGCAGUGGGGAAUUUUGGACAAUGGGCGAAAGCCUGAUCCAGCAAUGCCGCGUGCAGGAAGAAGGCCUUCGGGUUGUAAACUGCUUUUGUACGGAACGAAACGGUCUGCUUUAAUACAGUGGGCUAAUGACGGUACCGUAAGAAUAAGCACCGGCUAACUACGUGCCAGCAGCCGCGGUAAUACGUAGGGUGCGAGCGUUAAUCGGAAUUACUGGGCGUAAAGCGUGCGCAGGCGGUUAUAUAAGACAGUUGUGAAAUCCCCGGGCUCAACCUGGGAAUUGCAUCUGUGACUGUAUAGCUAGAGUACGGUAGAGGGGGAUGGAAUUCCGCGUGUAGCAGUGAAAUGCGUAGAUAUGCGGAGGAACACCGAUGGCGAAGGCAAUCCCCUGGACCUGUACUGACGCUCAUGCACGAAAGCGUGGGGAGCAAACAGGAUUAGAUACCCUGGUAGUCCACGCCCUAAACGAUGUCAACUGGUUGUUGGGUGCAUUAGUACUCAGUAACGAAGCUAACGCGUGAAGUUGACCGCCUGGGGAGUACGGCCGCAAGGUUGAAACUUCAAAGGAAUUGACGG